Neogobius melanostomus (round goby) is the source of this 1844-nucleotide long non-coding RNA. The record is from Ensembl. NCBI's taxonomy places the organism in Eukaryota, Metazoa, Chordata, Actinopteri, Gobiiformes, Gobiidae.
GCCAUAUUUCAGCAACCAUUCAAACUUUGCCACUGCUGUCUGUAGUGCAUUUCAAAUUACGCCAUGGAGCAGAUUAUUAGUAUUAGCAGACAGACUGAAAUGCACCAAAGAUCUUUGAAGGUGUCAGUUGGAUGUAAAAGCGUUCAGGGGACAUCCCACCGACUGCCUCAUUUGAUGCUGCAUUAUUAAACAGGUGUAAGGGCUUGAGCUGCUUCCCCACUGUUCAAUCAGCUGGGGAAAGGUUGAUGUGGGAGUAAAGCAACAGUUGUGGGAAUGUGCAUGUUCAAUGCUAAUAUAUUAAAAAUCUGUGUUACAUUCUGAUUGUGUUGCAUGUGUUACAAGUGCCUAAUGAUUCAUUCACUUACAGAGAUGGAGAAGCAACUCGAGGACCUAAAGCAACAACUAGAAAAACAAUGUGUGAUCAACAAAGAACUACAGAGGCAAAACAAAGACUUGGAAAAACGUCUGCUAGAAAAGGAGAAACGUCUGCAGCAGAUGCAAAGCCACUAUCAUGAUACAGAGUUUCCUAUACAGAGCGGGAAUGAGGUGCAGAAGUUCAGAAAGAGUCGAGCCGCAGUCAUCGCUACUGAACCCAUCCCAGAGACGCUGGAGAUCACAAGCACCAGAGUCAAGAAAACUGCCACGUGAGUGCAACGGGGGUUGAAUGAACAUCUUACAUUGUAGAAAAAGUGAGACAAGUUUCACAUUUUGAUGACACAUGGAAGAAUGAUUAAGUUUGUUGUUUCAUGUGGUAAUGCUUUUGUUGUAUUACACCAAAAGAACAAAAAAGGGCCAGAUAGACACCUUUGGCUUAGUUGAUUAACAUAAAACAUAUUGUAGUCAUUUUGCUGAGUUAGAUAAGUAAUAUUCUCCAGGAUAAUGCUGCUAUCUCUUUGUCCACAGAGAGACCAGUCUGAUAGUCAAGGCCAUCCAGAAGAAUGACUUCCUGAAGAGGCUGGAUGAUGAGCAGACAGCUAUGAUGGUGGAGCUGCUCGUGCUGUCCAAGUUCAACCCGGGGCAGGAGGUGAUCAAAGAGGGCUCCGAGGGAGACGGCAUGUACAUCGUGGCAGGUGCAGUCCGUGUUUCAUAUUUAAUCACUAAAAUACUUAGAAAAGAAUGGUAUAAAAACUCUCUGUAUUCAGGGGGCGAGUUACAAGUAACCCAGGCCGGACAGGACCUCCGUACUCUGAUAACUGGAGAUGUUUUUGGGGAGUUGGCCAUUCUUUACAACUGCAAGAGGACAGCUACAGUCAAAGGUAAAGAGUGAACAACAAGCAAAAACAUUAGGUUACUGUUACUUACAUUUCGUAUUCUAUGGCUGUAUAGACUUUAUGUAUCAUUGAGAGCAAAUGACCUUAAAUUUACUAAUAGUUAGAGGACAGUUUACGUCGUGCAGGGUCAAUGUUCUGCACAAAAUGAAUAAAAGAUACAAUUGGACAUCAUUUGGACAAUAUUUCUGGCAAUAGAAAUGAAAGUCUUUGACAGUAGAAUAGAACAUUUAUAUACAUUUGUCAGAUCGAGUAAUUGUUUUGCUGACUGCAGCAAAGACACCAGUGCGUCUGUGGUGCAUGGAGCGGCAAACGUAUAGAACCAUCAUCACCAACAAGUCCAAGAAGAAACGAGAGCAGCUCAUGGGUUUCCUGAAGACGUAAGCGCACCUGAAACGUCCUGAGGUCUUUCAUUGUGUGUUCUAAUUUCAUUUUCAUUCUGGCACCCGCAGGUCCCGCACUCUGAAGGAUCUGAAUGACGUCCAGUUGUCCAAAAUUAUUGACUCAAUGGAAGAAGUAAGUAGCGUGAUGGAGCAAGUUUAUUUGAUUGUCCACCUACUGUAGCUUUUACGGAUG